UACGUAGGGACCAAGCGUUGUUCGGAAUUACUGGGCGUAAAGGGCGCGUAGGCGGCCUUCUAAGUCGAACGUGAAAUCCCCGGGCUCAACCCGGGAACUGCGUCCGAUACUGGAAGGCUUGAAUCCGGGAGAGGGAUGCGGAAUUCCAGGUGUAGCGGUGAAAUGCGUAGAUAUCGGAAGGAACACCUGUGGCGAAAGCGGCUCACUGGACCAUAACUGACGCUGAGGCACGAAAGCUAGGGGAGCAAACAGG
Molecule: ribosomal RNA, 253 nt
Filed under: uncultured bacterium
Lineage: Bacteria
Description: partial 16S ribosomal RNA
Rfam family: Bacterial small subunit ribosomal RNA
Source: RNAcentral